UACAGAGGGUGCGAGCGUUAAUCGGAAUUACUGGGCGUAAAGGGCGCGUAGGCGGAUUAGUAAGUGUGAUGUGAAAGCCCUGGGCUUAACCUAGGAAGUGCAUCGCAAACUGUUAAUCUGGAGUAGAUGAGAGGGUGGCGGAAUUUCCGGUGUAGCGGUGAAAUGCGUAGAGAUCGGAAGGAACGUCAAUGGCGAAGGCAGCCACCUGGCAUCAUACUGACGCUGAGGCGCGAAAGCGUGGGGAGCGAACAGG
Molecule: ribosomal RNA, 253 nt
Filed under: uncultured bacterium
Lineage: Bacteria
Description: partial 16S ribosomal RNA
Rfam family: Bacterial small subunit ribosomal RNA
Source: RNAcentral